Molecule: ribosomal RNA, 460 nt
Filed under: uncultured bacterium
Lineage: Bacteria
Description: partial 16S ribosomal RNA
Rfam family: Bacterial small subunit ribosomal RNA
Source: RNAcentral
CCUACGGGGGGCAGCAGUGAGGAAUAUUGGUCAAUGGACGAGAGUCUGAACCAGCCAAGUAGCGUGAAGGAUGACUGCCCUAUGGGUUGUAAACUUCUUUUAUAUGGGAAUAAAAUGUUCCACGUGUGGGAUUUUGUAUGUACUAUAUGAAUAAGGAUCGGCUAACUCCGUGCCAGCAGCCGCGGUAAUACGGAGGAUCCGAGCGUUAUCCGGAUUUAUUGGGUUUAAAGGGAGCGUAGGUGGAUUGUUAAGUCAGUUGUGAAAGUUUGCGGCUCAACCGUAAAAUUGCAGUUGAUACUGGCAGUCUUGAGUACAGUAGAGGUGGGCGGAAUUCGUGGUGUAGCGGUGAAAUGCUUAGAUAUCACGAAGAACUCCGAUUGCGAAGGCAGUUCACUGAACUGCAACUGACACUGAGGCUCGAAAGUGUGGGUAUCAAACAGGAUUAGAUACCCCUGUAGUC